AGAUUGCUGGUGAGACAGCAGCCACUGCUCCCAGGCCCGACAACAGGGGCAGCACCAAAGCUGGUCAGUGUUUCCUCCUUACAGGUCUGAAGGUGCUGCAGAGGAGGGUGCUUCCCAGAGAUCACCCCUGUGACAGACAGAUCGAUUGAAGGACCCCUGAAUGGCUGAAUUGAGAAGAACAAGCAUAUUAGGAGGCCAUACAAUGGGAGCCUCUCAGGCAGACAGACAAAGCCGUGGAAACUGCAGACUUAUUUGUAUGUUCUGGUAAACACCUUUGCUUCAUUUUCCCCGUCUCCGCCUGGACUGAGGGUCACCUCACCUCUCCUGGUGUCCAGAGCCUCCUUCAGGACAGAUGUUGCAAACCUGAGUUCUCACAAACAGCGGGGUCCAGCCCUUCUCAACACUGGAAAGCCCUUGAGCCAUCUUUGAUUUGUGUGUUUUGAUCUAAUUGCACUACUGCUUGCAAUGCUUGUUUUUAGCGGUGAGUGCUGGUUUAAUUUGUUUCUUUCUGGUCUCCCAGCCCCACUCCAGAAUUUUGGCUCCUGGAGAGGAGGGGCCCUGAACUGGCAUUUUCAGUGAAGCAUCCCAGUGCCUUGAAUCCAGUAAGCAGCCAGGUGUCUGUUGGCUUCAUGGUUUAACAACCUACCAUUUGAAGAAUCGCAGAGAUGAAUUAAAAAGAGCCCCGGAGAGGCUCCCCGAUCCAGUUGCACUUCCUGCUUAAGCAAAGUAAAGAAAAACAGGAAUGAAAA
This 749-nucleotide long non-coding RNA is filed under the name Homo sapiens (human). RNAcentral's name for it is "non-protein coding LINC02188:15". The record is from RNAcentral. Lineage: Eukaryota; Metazoa; Chordata; Mammalia; Primates; Hominidae.